GAUGAACGCUGGCGGCGUGCUUAACACAUGCAAGUCGAACGAUGAAGCCCAGCUUGCUGGGUGGAUUAGUGGCGAACGGGUGAGUAACACGUGAGUAACCUGCCCUUAACUCUGGGAUAAGCCUGGGAAACUGGGUCUAAUACCGGAUAGGAGCGCCUACCGCAUGGUGGGUGUUGGAAAGAUUUAUCGGUUUUGGAUGGACUCGCGGCCUAUCAGCUUGUUGGUGAGGUAAUGGCUCACCAAGGCGACGACGGGUAGCCGGCCUGAGAGGGUGACCGGCCACACUGGGACUGAGACACGGCCCAGACUCCUACGGGAAGCAGCAGUGGGGAAUAUUGCACAAUGGGCGAAAGCCUGAUGCAGCGACGCCGCGUGAGGGAUGACGGCCUUCGGGUUGUAAACCUCUUUCAGUAGGGAAGAAGCGAAAGUGACGGUACCUGCAGAAGAAGCACCGGCUAACUACGUG
RNAcentral lists this ribosomal RNA (466 nucleotides) under uncultured bacterium. RNAcentral's name for it is "partial 16S ribosomal RNA". It matches the Rfam family "Bacterial small subunit ribosomal RNA", at positions 28 to 507 of the family's 1533-position model. The record is from RNAcentral.